This 301-nucleotide ribosomal RNA is filed under the name uncultured bacterium. RNAcentral's name for it is "partial 16S ribosomal RNA". It matches the Rfam family "Bacterial small subunit ribosomal RNA", at positions 509 to 807 of the family's 1533-position model. The record is from RNAcentral.
CAGUAGCCGCGGUAAUGCGAAGGGUGCAAGCGUUAAUCGGAAUUACUGGGCGUAAAGCGUGCGUAGGCGGUGAGCUAAGUCUGCUGUGAAAUCCCCGGGCUCAACCUGGGAAUGGCAGUGGAUACUGGCUCGCUAGAGUGUGUCAGAGGAUGGUGGAAUUCCCGGUGUAGCGGUGAAAUGCGUAGAGAUCGGGAGGAACACCAGUGGCGAAGGCGGCCAUCUGGGACAACACUGACGCUGAGGCACGAAAGCGUGGGGAGCAAACAGGAUUAGAUACCCCGGUAGUCCCUGUCUCUUAUAC